Molecule: non-coding RNA, 31 nt
Filed under: Mus musculus (house mouse)
Lineage: Eukaryota; Metazoa; Chordata; Mammalia; Rodentia; Muridae
Source: RNAcentral
UGGCCUGUGCCCACCUAUAUGGGUGACCUCU